ACCUGGUGGCCGGCCGGGGGU
This 21-nucleotide unclassified non-coding RNA is filed under the name Mus musculus (house mouse). RNAcentral describes it as "oocyte_clustered_small_RNA13428". The record is from RNAcentral. Lineage: Eukaryota; Metazoa; Chordata; Mammalia; Rodentia; Muridae.